UAUACCAGGUAUGUAAUNCUGUUUGCUCNCCACGCUUUCGCACCUGAUCGUYAGUCUUUGUCCAGGGGGCCGCCUUNGGCACCGGUAUUCCUCCAGAUCUCUACGCAUUUCACCGCUACACCUGGAAUUCUACCCCCCUCUACAAGACUCUAGCUGGACAGUUUUAAAUGCAAUUCCCAGGUUGAGCCCGGGGCUUUCACAUCUAACUUAUCCAACCGCCUGCGUGCGCUUUACGCCCAGUAAUUCCGAUUAACGCUUGCACCCUCCGUAUUACCGCGGCUGCUGGCACGGAGUUAGCCGGUGCUUCUUCUGCGAGUAACGUCACAGNUGGCAGGUAUUAGGUACCAACCUUUCCUCCUCGCUGAAAGUGCUUUACAACCCGAAGGCCUUCUUCACACACGCGGGAUGGCUGCAUCAGGGUUUCCCCCAUUGUGCAAUAUUCCCCACUGCUGCCUCCCGUAGGAGUCUGGACCGUGUUNUCANUUCCAGUGGGGNUGAUCAUCCUCUCAGACCANCUAGGGAUCGUCGCCUUGGNGAGCCAUUNCCNCACCAACUAGCUNAU
RNAcentral lists this ribosomal RNA (562 nucleotides) under Aeromonas caviae. RNAcentral's name for it is "partial 16S ribosomal RNA". Lineage: Bacteria; Pseudomonadati; Pseudomonadota; Gammaproteobacteria; Aeromonadales; Aeromonadaceae. The record is from RNAcentral.